UACGGAAGGGGCAAGCGUUGUUCGGAAUCAUUGGGCGUAAAGGGCGUGUAGGUGGUUCUGUAUGUCUACCGUGAAAGCGUACGGCUCAACCGUAUUUAGUCGGUAGAAACUGCAGGACUUGAGGCUGGGAGGGGCUGGUGGAAUUCCCCGUGUAGCGGUGAAAUGCGUAGAGAUGGGGGAGAACACUCGUGGCGAAGGCGGCCAGCUAGACCAGUUCUGACACUGAGGCGCGACAGCGUGGGGAGCAAACAGG
RNAcentral lists this ribosomal RNA (253 nucleotides) under uncultured bacterium. RNAcentral describes it as "partial 16S ribosomal RNA". It matches the Rfam family "Bacterial small subunit ribosomal RNA", at positions 524 to 776 of the family's 1533-position model. The record is from RNAcentral.